GUAGGAGUGAGCCUGCUCGCGAUGACGAAGUGUCAGUCGACAUCAGUGUUGUCUGACUUACCGCUAUCGCGAGCAGGCUCACUCCUAC
RNAcentral lists this non-coding RNA (88 nucleotides) under Pseudomonas sp. 29. The record is from RNAcentral. Lineage: Bacteria; Pseudomonadati; Pseudomonadota; Gammaproteobacteria; Pseudomonadales; Pseudomonadaceae.